GCUGAUUGGUUUGUCAUUUUUUCUGUGCCGUGUUGUCCGAAACAUCCGAUUUUUGUCGCGCUUAAGUUGCUCGCUCGCAGUCGUGUUCCGCCGAUCAAUCCGGCAUACGUGAAGCGGUUUCCUUUAUUUCGAAGGUAGCGCAUUUAAUAAAAAUACAAAAUGUUCCGAAUGCCGGGUCUGCCUCCUACCGAUGCCGCGGAGGAAAAGCGAAAAGUGCGACGAGCUGUGCACCAGAACUUGUUUGCAUUCGUAACUCUCUGUGUUGCGAUAAGAAUAGCAUCAACAGUAGUUCAGCAAGGAUUGUUAUGAAUCGCAUCCUGAAUUAAUGGACGAUAUGUAAAGUCAUAUUUAGUUUCGAAUAAACCACCAAACCAACCAAA
Molecule: long non-coding RNA, 380 nt
Organism: Anopheles aquasalis
Lineage: Eukaryota; Metazoa; Arthropoda; Insecta; Diptera; Culicidae
Source: RefSeq, a predicted model, not a curated record